CUCUUUCUCCAUUUUUUGUUCAAUUUUGUCUUUCUUUUCUAUUUCUCGUUAUGGUUUCAUCGACUAUAGAAGGCCCGACUCCCAUUUUCUACCCGAGUCCGAACCCAACGUCUCUUCAACUCCCAUCACAGGAUCAUCGUCCUCAAAGAGUUUAAUUUAAUUUUACAUCUCAAGUUGUUGAUUUUCCCUGGCUUCUUCUCACAAUUGGGCUGUUUUUAGUCGAAAAUCGUCAAUAUUCAGUCACUUCAUUGAGAAUCUCCCCAACCUAACUCCAAAUUAGAUCUAGGUAUCCUUCAUUCCUCUUCUUUACACUCCUUAUUUUUAGUAAUCAUUCAUAUAUUUGAAUAUCUAUGGUUGCACUUCUAUUAUCAGAAAUUUUGGAAUUAAUGAUUGAUCGUAUGUUUAGUAAAUUUUUAACUUUAUUGUGGAGAUCAUUUAUUAGAUUAUUGAAGUGGAUGCAUCACUUAAAGAUUUGUAUAUGGGGUUUCUUCGAAGAUAAAGGACACCAAGAAACAAUAUCAACUAUAUACAAUUUUGCAUUGAUUGAAUUUUUUGAAGUAAUAUGUUCGUUUAUACAUUUUCUUGUUCCUCGUAAUACAUUAAUAUAUAAUUUGGUUAGACAAAUGCUAAUUAUAUCAAGUGUCUAUCUUCAUGUUUGUAUGCCCCUUGGUCUAUUUGUUUUCGGUUAUGUCAGCAUUUUUGCAAACUGAAAGUUUCUCUUUUUCAAUGAAAUAGAGACUUUAGAAAAAUGUAUUUUUAUGGCAUUAAUGGGACAUCUUCAUUGAAACAUUUGUCUAUGGAUGAUGGAAAUGACAAGUCUAAUGUUAUGGCAGAUUCCAUGAACCCUAAUUUUGUAAACUAUCUACAAAUGAUUAUCUAUCAAUUGUUCGUGAUAGAAAGGGGUCAUCUGCAUAGAGGCAUCAUUAUUACUUUUCAAGUUACACAAUAUAAAAAUUUUUGACAGUCUACUUAUUAAAAAGAAAAAUAGGAAAAGGUUUAGCCACUAUUAAUAGGGUCUGUCUAAAAGGAAGAGGAAAAAACAUCAAUAGUCGGAAUAUCUCAUAUGACAAAACUAUUUUAUUUAGAUGGUAUGCACAAUAUAAUUCUUUUUUUUAUGAGCUCAAGAAACUGUAUAUAUUUUCAUCAGUUUAAUGACAUUUUAAUUGAUAGAUUUCAUUAUCUAGUGUUGCUUGUAAUGCAAGUGUGGAAACAUGUGUAAAUUUGCCAAUCUUGAUUAAUCUUCUGUGUACAUGGCUAUGGAAAACAUCCUUGUGACGAAUGGUUUGGAAUUUUCGAUGGCAUCCAACUCAUUCAAGGUAUGCUUCUCUCACUUUGAACUUUUUACUCAUUCUAUUAUUGAAUGAUACAAUCCUCACGCAAUUUUCAAAGAUCCAUUCUGCAGGGAAAAUAAUACAUUAGUAAGUUGCUUCUUACCAUCAUCGUUUACGCAUUUAAUUAUGUUGGUUUGAAGUUUACUUAUAUGUUUUUAGAUCAUACCUUACUCGAUUAUUUCUCUCGAUUAGGUCAUGUAUGAUGCUUACACUCUAUUUGGUGAACCUACUCCAACAAACAAGCAGUACAAUUCAAAUAAGAUUUUUAGCCAUCCCGAUAUUACUACUGGAAAACCAUGGUAUGGUAUUCAGCAAAAGUUCAUCCCUUUGCACAAGAAUGUUAGGUGGCCCAUUGAAUAGCCUUAGGGAGGUUAUCCCGAACCUGAGUUAUAACAUUAUAAUGUACAAAAUGUUAGUUGUUUAUUAUCUUUUAUAUUGGCAAAAAAUUCAAAUUUCAUGUCACACCCCCAUUCAUAUACAUAACUAUCCAUUAACCUGUGUGGGAAUAAAAUUGAUGACUCGACCUAGAUAUAGAAUUUCUCACUUUUUCUCACGUGAUAAAACGACGUAAGUUAUGUCUCUAAACCAAAAUCAUAUCGUCAUAAUCAAACAUAUAUAUUCUGAGAUUAUAAACAAGUCUACAUACCAUGUCAAAAGAUAUACAACACAUGAUCCCCAACAUACAACACAAUAGGUCAUAAGCUCAAAAUAGCAGCCCACAAAAUAACCCUACAGGUCGUCAUCCAUGUACAUAGAACUCUGGAAUCCCGUAAGAGCUCCACAGCUAGCUGUGCUCUCUAUAUAAUUCCAGGCUAACCUACAAUGUAAGAACUACAUAAACCAAUGCUUAGUAAGCAAAAAUCAUGCAUGUAAUGAAUAUAAAUAAUAAUGAUAUAUGCCAUUUACUUUAAACAUCACGAUAAAGAAGCAUCAUAUUUCAAUAUGUAUCAAAGUCGACUCGAAAUCAUUUUGUUUGAAACCUUUCAUUUCAUUGGGCCCU
This is an RNA transcript of Olea europaea var. sylvestris, 2331 nucleotides long. It is a transcript of the gene named glutamine synthetase nodule isozyme-like, with no coding region annotated. The transcript has 3 exons. The record is from RefSeq and is a predicted model, not a curated record. Lineage: Eukaryota; Viridiplantae; Streptophyta; Magnoliopsida; Lamiales; Oleaceae.